RNAcentral lists this long non-coding RNA (597 nucleotides) under Trifolium pratense (red clover). Its description in RNAcentral is "long non-coding RNA (TPRA_LNC005960)". Lineage: Eukaryota; Viridiplantae; Streptophyta; Magnoliopsida; Fabales; Fabaceae. The record is from RNAcentral.
GUCAUGACAAUAAGAGGUGAGUGGUACAGUUGAGGAUGGAGAUUUAAGUAGCCUUCAUCAUUGUGAAAGUUAAAGCAAAGUAUGUCUACGUCUGGAGACAAAUCUAGAUUUGAGCUUGUAAUCCAAUAAUAAACACCAUUAACAAGAGCAUUAUAUCUUGAAGAAGGAUGUUUAUGUGCAUCAAUAUAGCUUGAAUGACGGCGGUAUUGUUUGACAUUAAUACGAGGGCAACGAGUGUGGAUAAUUGUCCAGGAUUUAGUAUGUUUACUUUAGACUAUAAACUUCUGCGGAAUGACAAUUGGAAUUGCAUUCAAACUUUCAAUUUUAGGGACAUCGUGCGACAUAAACUCAAUUAAGGGACAUCAAGGGACAUAUAUUCAAUUUUGUAUCUAAGGCACCAAGGGUCUUCUCCACUUGCAUGUGAAGUUAUGAAGCAUUCACAUUGAAAUUCAAUUCAGACAAUUAAUUUUAGGGAUACCGUGGGAUAUAAACUCACUAGGGACAUAUGUUCAAUUUUGCAUCUAAGGCACCGAUAGUCUUCUCCACUUACAUGUGAAGUUAUGAAGCAUUCACAUUGAAAUUGCAUUCCAACUAUCA